CUGCUCACCACCGCAGACAAGUCCAGUCCUCUCCCUCCCCUCAACCUAGCGCCGCCACUCACGCCCACCACGCCGCCGCACCGCCGCUGGUGAAUGGAUCCGUCCAUCCCGUACACCGGCCUUGGCCUCUUCCUCCCUCCCCUCAACCUAGCUCCACCACUCGCGCCCACCACACCGCCGCACCACCGCUGGUGAACGGAUUCGUCCAUCCCGUACACCAGCCAUGUCCUCCUGCUCACUCUCCUCGACCUAGCUCCGCCACUCGCACCCACCACGCUGGCACACCCCGCUGCCGGAGAACAAUCCAGCCACUGGAGCCGAAGAUCCACGGGCCGGACAUCAACGAGCCGGCAUCCCAAACCUCCACGGAUACGCCUCCGCAUAGGGAGUCCUGCUUAGCUCCGCAGAUCCGUGCAGGCCGCGACGAAGGCUGCCUCACCGACCACCACCAAGGCUACCUCGCCGAUAGACGCAGGCCCGCAGCCCCGACCUCUUCUACUGGCAUCAGGAAUCUGGUAUUGUACCAUGUGGUUUACUGGUAGUGCAUCUCGUUCUAGCAUUUAUAUAUGUGUUCUUUCUAGCGUGUUUGUAGUUUUGUCUUCUUUCUACCAUUAACCAAAAUACUGAUGCGUUAGUUGUUCCUUCAACUCAUGUACAGAAAUUGGAUUUAGUUUCUGCUCUUUCUACGUUUCUCUGUAAUAAGUAAUAGAAGAAAUGGAAAAAACCAAGUAUGAGGUGGCAAGGGACGAGACUAUAAAGCAUGUUCAACAAGUUUUUUAAUUCUUUGGGCAUUCAUGUCUUAGCACAGACUAUUAGAGAUGUUAUUUCACCAAAAAAAGAAAGAGGGAAGAGGAAAGGCUAUAGAUUCUGACAAUGAUUACGAUCCAUGCUCUGACAUUGAAAACCAAUCUGACACUGAUGAUGACUAUGAUGAUGACCACAAUAAUGAGGUCAAUACUGAGGCGACACAGAUGGUUCUAGGAACUCGCCCUCACCAAAAGAAGCAAAACGCAGGAACAAUGCCAGCUGCCAACCACCAGCCACCACGCACACCAGUCAGAUUGACAAGGCAAAGUGCAGCCAUGCCUUCGCCUGGAGGACACCCGCCACCUAAGCCAAGACAUCUCUUGCCUCCUAAGACCACUUCGAAAGCCACCCCUAAAAGAAAUGUCAUUUCCAGUAGUACCCAACAACAGGUCCAGGCCAGUACAACCACUACUGAGACCACUGAAACUACAAACCCAAUGUCUUUUCCUCCAAAAAUGACCAGGUCCACUCAAGCAAUGUCUUCACGAGUUCCAAACACAAUGCCUAGACCUACUAGAUACACAAGGACUAAAGGAACCAUGUCUACGCCUGGUGGACACACCAUGCAUAGUCCUCCUAGAUUCACUAGGGCUAGUGCAGCCAUGUCUUCUCCUGGUGCAAACCCUCACCAUAGUCCUCCUAGAUUCACUAGGGCUAGUGCAGCCAUGUCUUCUCCUAGUGCAAACCCUCACCAUAGUACUCCUGCAGCCACUGCUAUCGUAUCUUAGCAACCUACUCCCACAACUAGUGUUAACAAAAUAGUUCCUACAGACAACUCACCAGGUGGGCACAGCUCUAGGCAAAGCAAUGCCAUCAAUGAGUCAGCUGAGCAAUUUGAUGCUGCUACUUGAGAGGGUAAUCCGAAUGAAGGAGAACCAGUUGGUGACUUAGUUCCAGCGCCCAAAAAGAAUGUCCACAAGAAAACCAUGGGUCAUGGCUCAGAGAAGAUGCUUAAUAGGGGAAACCGGUUGGCUAUCCACGUGGCUGAAGGGAAGAAAAGACCGGAGGUCCCACUUCAAGCAGCGAAGCUGGCAUCAGAAACUGGUGUUGCCCUUAGAGACAACCUACCUAUCUACAAAUCUUGGAAGCUUUAUGACAAUGCCGUGGGGCAGGCAGAAGUAGGAAAAGUGCUUGACAAAGUCGCUUCAAGGUUGGAUGUCAAUGUUAAGAAUGAGGGACCAAGCAAAGAUGCAUGCAUAAAUAUCAUAAAGAGGGGAGUGAGGCAGACGAGGUAUAACCUGAAAAGGAAGUACUUCGAUGAGUCACUGACAAAAGAACAGUUGUUGGCCAUGCAACCUCCACCUAAAAUGAAGAAAGAGGAUUGGACUGGGCUGGUAGAGUAUUGGUGUGACCCAAAGAAUCAGGAAAAAUCUGCUAAGAACAAAGCAAACCGAGGCAACGUGCAGCUUCACCAAAGGACUGGAGCUAGGUCCUAUAUAGACCAUCGUUACAGCCUGGUAUGUAUACUAUGUAUUUUCUAAAACUAGCUUCAAAGAUGGGAAAUAUGUAGCAUAAUAAUUACCAUGUGCUACUGAAAUGUAAAGUUACCAUGUGCUCCAAUUACUUCUGAGAUGAGCUAAUAAGUCAUGAAAUGAAUAAGUGCAAUAUCUCUUUGGUUUGAAGGACUUACAUUUUGGAGUGUUAUUGACUAUUCAUUUCAUCAGAUGUGAGGUUUAUGCCAAUAGGAAAGGUGUGAUAUGUCAUGAAAUGAAUAAGUGCAAUAGGAAAGCUUUGAUAUGCCAAUAGGAAACCCGUGUUGGUCUGUGGGGACAAUAUAUGAUUCUAGAGAGCUGCCAGGAGUAAGUACCGUUGGUACAGGAAUUUGACGGGGUGUUACAAGUGGUAUCACAGCCGACCCUCGAGGUUUCAUAGGUGUGUGUGGGCUCAGGAGUUCGGGUAUAUGGAGCAUGGCACAUGUGGGCCAGGAGUGGUCACAUGGCAUGGCAUAUGAUGACACUAGACACAAAGACGUGGCUAAGAUGGGAGGUUCCUAGAUUGGGGUUGAUCGACGAGGAUGUCGGUCUUUUAAAGGGGUGGAUUGUGAUAUUCUGGCCCCUAGGAUGGUGAU
Molecule: long non-coding RNA, 2875 nt
Organism: Zea mays
Lineage: Eukaryota; Viridiplantae; Streptophyta; Magnoliopsida; Poales; Poaceae
Exons: 5
Source: RefSeq, a predicted model, not a curated record